Long non-coding RNA from Coregonus clupeaformis (lake whitefish), 749 nucleotides. RefSeq lists it as uncharacterized. NCBI's taxonomy places the organism in Eukaryota, Metazoa, Chordata, Actinopteri, Salmoniformes, Salmonidae. The transcript is spliced from 3 exons. The record is from RefSeq and is a predicted model, not a curated record.
GAGGAAGAUGGCUGCGUAAAGAGAGAAUGAUUGUGAAAUCAGAAAAUGGAUUGUUGUUGUUUAAAGACGUAAUCUACGCGACAAAUUAUACAAUUCAUAGGCGAUCUUGUUUGCGUCCGUGAGUAGGUUUUUGUAAUGUUGUCUAAAUUUUUACAGUACACCCUGAUUGACUGACAGUGGAAUUGCCCGGAUAGCCACCGUUAGCAUUUUGGCUAACUAGCAAGCUAACUAGCUAAGUUGUUUCGUGGAAAUCACUGCUCCACAGCAGCUUGCCAUUUUUUGGGAAAGUACUGCAAACCUACCCGGUGGUGGUUGACGUUCAGUCCUGGGAGAGCAGUUGGGGCUAAGGAAGACUAAGCCGAUCGCUGCUGGGUGGUGACUUCCUUGAGGAAGCCAGCUAGGACCAUGAGCCAGGGCUCCCUCUGUGGACCAGAGCCAACAUGGAGGUUUAGCCCAGACAGACGCUGAGCAAGUGUUCAGUGCUGCGGGUCCUCAGCCUAGGCAUGGAGUGGUGUUGGCUGCAGACUGGAUGACAGGGUCUUCAGGGAGAGCCGACACGCGUCCCCCUGCACAGAGACCCAACCCCCUAACUGACCACCGCUGACCCAUUACCACGGUGACACUGAAGGACAGCCUCACUCCUGCAACCAACAACCACAGCAGAACCCACUCUUUUUCCUCUUCCCCCUCUACCUGGACUCUCACUUGGCCCUCCUCCUCCUCCUGACCUCCUCCUCCUGACCCUCCCC